AAAAUAGGGCGUUAAAAGAUGUAGGUAUAUUUUCUAUAGGUAAAUCCGUAGAGAAUGCUGAAUUCCAAUAGUACCAGGAGGCUUCGGCCGAAUGGAUAGAGAAUGUAAGCAGACUUCCGAGAGGGUCUUCUAAGCAUAUUGAUACGGUACCCGUACCGCAAACCGACAUAGGUAGUCAAGGAGAGAAUCCUGAGGUGCUCGAGUGAGUCAUGGCUAAGGAACUAGGCAAAUUAAACCUGUAAUUUUGGGAAAAGGGUUGCCUCUCUUUAGUAAUAAAGAAGGUCGCAGAGAAAUGGCCCAGGCGACUGUUUAAUAAAAACAUAUGGCUAUGCGAAAUCGUAAGAUGAAGUAUAUGGCCUGACACCUGCCCGGUGCUGGAAGGUUAAGGGGGGAAGUUAGUCGUAGGGCGAAGCUUUGAACUGAAGCCCCAGUAAACGGUGGCCGUAGUUAUAACGGUCCUAAGGUAGUGAAAUUCCUUGUCGGGUAAGUUCCGACCUGUAUGAAUGGUGUAACGAUCUGGGCACUGUCUCAGCCAUGAGCUCGGUGAAAUUGUAGUCACGGUGAAGAUGCCGUGUACCCGUCACGGGACGGAAAGACCCCAUGCACCUUUACUAUAGCUUCGCAUUGACAUUGGGUAGAUGAUGUGUAGGAUAGGUGGGAGGCGUUGAUCCUGUGCCGCUAGGUAUAGGGGAGCCAACGGUGAAAUACCACCCUUUAUUUAUCUGAUGUCUAAUCCGCAAGAUUUGCGGAGACAGUGCGUGGUGGGUAGUUUGACUGGGGUGGUCGCCUCCGAAAGUGUAUCGGAGGCUUUCAAAGGUAUGCUCAAUACGCUUGGUAACCGUAUGUGGAGUGCAAUAGCAUAAGCAUGCUUGACUGUGAGACUGAUAAGUCGAGCACGGUCGAAAGACGGAUAUAGUGAUCCGGUGGUUCUGUAUGGAAGGGCCAUCGCUCAAAGGAUAAAAGGUACGCUGGGAUAAUAGGCUGAUCUCCCCUAAGAGUUUAUAUCGAUGGGGAGGUUUGGCACCUCGAUGUCGGCUCGUCACAUCCUGGGGCUGGAGAAGGUCCCAAGGGUUAGGCUGUUUGCCUAUUAAAGUGGCACGCGAGCUGGGUUCAGAACGUCGUGAGACAGUUCGGUCCCUAUCUGUGAUGGGCGUAGGAAGUUUGAGAGGAUCUGACCUUAGUAUGAGAGGAUUGGGUUGGACCAACCGUUGGUGUACCGGUUGUGGUGUUAGUUGCAUCGCCGGGUAGCUACGUUGGGACGAGAUAAGCGCUGAAAGUAUUUAAGCGCGAAACUCACCUCAAGAUGAGACUUCCAUUAAGGGACGUCAGAGAUUAUGACGUUGAUAGGCUGCAGGUGUAAAGGCAGAAAUGUCAAAGCUGAGCAGUAUUAAUUAUUU
This 1397-nucleotide ribosomal RNA is filed under the name metagenome. RNAcentral's name for it is "bacterial LSU rRNA". It matches the Rfam family "Bacterial large subunit ribosomal RNA", at positions 1500 to 2910 of the family's 2925-position model. The record is from RNAcentral.